Tachysurus fulvidraco (yellow catfish) is the source of this 372-nucleotide long non-coding RNA. RefSeq lists it as uncharacterized. NCBI's taxonomy places the organism in Eukaryota, Metazoa, Chordata, Actinopteri, Siluriformes, Bagridae. The record is from RefSeq and is a predicted model, not a curated record. The transcript is spliced from 3 exons.
CCUUGUUGAUAAAGGAGUACAUGCCACUCAAGAAAUUAGGUAUUUGAUGUGAGACAGUGUAAGCUGCUCGUCUCAGCAGUCGUCCUGCGACUAAAGGAAGGGUUUUCUAGACUGACAGCUACCUGAAGAUCUCAACGCUGACACCAUGGCCACUACAGUCUCCAUGGCGACUGCUUCCAUGACUGCCACCGUCAUCGCCAUGGAUACCAGGUGCAUAUUGGGAUGGCUGUUUGUAUGCAUGUUCCCUCAGGUGAGAGUGAGAGGAGAUGAAAUGAAGCCGGGCUCCGAGUCGUCUGAUGUUUCUCCUCCUGAUAAAUUGAUAUAAUUAAAAAUAAAUAUAAAGCCGUGUUGAGCUGCGAGCCCGCGGCCAUG